RNAcentral lists this ribosomal RNA (1157 nucleotides) under Bifusella camelliae. Its description in RNAcentral is "eukaryotic LSU rRNA". It matches the Rfam family "Eukaryotic large subunit ribosomal RNA", at positions 56 to 1443 of the family's 3401-position model. The record is from RNAcentral. Lineage: Eukaryota; Fungi; Ascomycota; Leotiomycetes; Rhytismatales; Rhytismataceae.
AUUGAUUUGUUAUCUUCAAAUUGUUUGCCUCAUUAACGGCGAGUGAAGCGGCAACAGCUCAAAUUUGAAAGCUGGCUCUUUCAGGGUCCGCGUUGUAAUUUGCAGAGGAUGCUUCGGGUGCGGUGCCGGUCUAAGUUCUUUGGAACAAGACGUCAUAGAGGGUGAGAAUCCCGUAUGUGACUGGUGGCCUGCGCCCGUGUGAAGCUCCUUCGACGAGUCGAGUUGUUUGGGAAUGCAGCUCUAAAUGGGUGGUGUACUUCAUCUAAAGCUAAAUAUUGGGUCUAGACCGAUAGCGCACAAGUAGAGUGAUCGAAAGAUGAAAAGCACUUUGGAAAGAGAGUUAAACAGUACGUGAAAUUGUUGAAAGGGAAGCGCUUGCAAUCAGACUUGCGCUGCGUCGAUCAGCCUGGGUUUUCCCUGGUGCACUCGGCGCAGCGCAGGCCAGCAUCAGUUCUGGCGGUUGGAUAAAGGCCUGGAGAACGUGGGUCGCCUUGGCGAUUGUUAUAGCUCUGGGUGCAAUGCAGCCUGCCGGGACUGAGGACCGCGCUUCGGCUAGGAUGCUGGCGUAAUGGUUGUAAGCGACCCGUCUUGAAACACGGACCAAGGAGUCUAACAUUUAUGCGAGUGUUUGGGUGUCAAACCCAUACGCGCAAUGAAAGUGAACGGAGGUGAGAACCCUUAAGGGCGCAUCAUCGACCGAUCCUGAUGUCUUCGGAUGGAUUUGAGUAAGAGCAUAACUGUUGGGACCCGAAAGAUGGUGAACUAUGCGUGGAUAGGGUGAAGCCAGAGGAAACUCUGGUGGAGGCUCGCAGCGGUUCUGACGUGCAAAUCGAUCGUCAAAUCUACGUAUAGGGGCGAAAGACUAAUCGAACCAUUGAAGCCGAACUAGGUGGUUGGGAGGCCUGUAAGGCCUAGUCCUCAUAGGGGGCGAUACUGCAAAAUUGCGGGGACAGCUCGAUAGACGCAGGCUACCACAGCGGGCUUGAAAAAGCCCGCCACGGUCACAAUGCCUGCGCCUGAGCCGAUCCGCAGCGGUUUCCUACGGCGCAUCAGCGCUAUGGAACGCGUACAUCGACUAGAUGGCAGUGGGUGUAUUUCAGGGCGCCUAAGGUAUAGUCAGGCUGCGGCAGCGAUGCUGCAGCUACCGCGGCCAGGGC